Contarinia nasturtii (swede midge) is the source of this 221-nucleotide long non-coding RNA. RefSeq lists it as uncharacterized. NCBI's taxonomy places the organism in Eukaryota, Metazoa, Arthropoda, Insecta, Diptera, Cecidomyiidae. The record is from RefSeq and is a predicted model, not a curated record. The transcript is spliced from 3 exons.
AGUACUUUCGUUUCGUGUUUGAGAACAAACAUGUUCAAUUAUUGUACGUCGUUAUGAGUGUUCAAUGUUCAUUGUGUGUCAUCAUUGUCGAGCAAUUAUCGAUUCAAGAAGAAGAAAGCAGCGGUAGCCGCAGCCCCCGCAACACCAGCGCCCGCUACAGCCGCUGCUGCUAAAAGUGGCAAGGCAGCGUCGCCAGCAGGUAGCAAGGGACCAUCGCCAGC